RNAcentral lists this ribosomal RNA (465 nucleotides) under Vreelandella stevensii. Its description in RNAcentral is "partial 16S ribosomal RNA". It matches the Rfam family "Bacterial small subunit ribosomal RNA", at positions 338 to 795 of the family's 1533-position model. Lineage: Bacteria; Pseudomonadati; Pseudomonadota; Gammaproteobacteria; Oceanospirillales; Halomonadaceae. The record is from RNAcentral.
CCUACGGGUGGCAGCAGUGGGGAAUAUUGGACAAUGGGGGGAACCCUGAUCCAGCCAUGCCGCGUGUGUGAAGAAGGCCCUCGGGUUGUAAAGCACUUUCAGUGAGGAAGAACGCCUGGUGGUUAAUACCCAUCAGGAAAGACAUCACUCACAGAAGAAGCACCGGCUAACUCCGUGCCAGCAGCCGCGGUAAUACGGAGGGUGCGAGCGUUAAUCGGAAUUACUGGGCGUAAAGCGCGCGUAGGUGGCUUGAUAAGCCGGUUGUGAAAGCCCCGGGCUCAACCUGGGAACGGCAUCCGGAACUGUCAAGCUAGAGUGCAGGAGAGGAAGGUAGAAUUCCCGGUGUAGCGGUGAAAUGCGUAGAGAUCGGGAGGAAUACCAGUGGCGAAGGUGGCCUUCUGGACUGACACUGACACUGAGGUGCGAAAGCGUGGGUAGCAAACAGGAUUAGAUACCCCGGUAGUC